RNAcentral lists this ribosomal RNA (465 nucleotides) under Vreelandella stevensii. RNAcentral describes it as "partial 16S ribosomal RNA". It matches the Rfam family "Bacterial small subunit ribosomal RNA", at positions 338 to 795 of the family's 1533-position model. The record is from RNAcentral. Lineage: Bacteria; Pseudomonadati; Pseudomonadota; Gammaproteobacteria; Oceanospirillales; Halomonadaceae.
CCUACGGGUGGCAGCAGUGGGGAAUAUUGGACAAUGGGGGGAACCCUGAUCCAGCCAUGCCGCGUGUGUGAAGAAGGCCCUCGGGUUGUAAAGCACUUUCAGUGAGGAAGAACGCCUGGUGGUUAAUACCCAUCAGGAAAGACAUCACUCACAGAAGACGCACCGGCUAACUCCGUGCCAGCAGCCGCGGUAAUACGGAGGGUGCGAGCGUUAAUCGGAAUUACUGGGCGUAAAGCGCGCGUAGGUGGCUUGAUAAGCCGGUUGUGAAAGCCCCGGGCUCAACCUGGGAACGGCAUCCGGAACUGUCAAGCUAGAGUGCAGGAGAGGAAGGUAGAAUUCCCGGUGUAGCGGUGAAAUGCGUAGAGAUCGGGAGGAAUGCCAGUGGCGAAGGCGGCCUUCUGGACUGACACUGACACUGAGGUGCGAAAGCGUGGGUAGCAAACAGGAUUAGAUACCCUGGUAGUC